Molecule: ribosomal RNA, 407 nt
Filed under: uncultured bacterium
Lineage: Bacteria
Description: partial 16S ribosomal RNA
Rfam family: Bacterial small subunit ribosomal RNA
Source: RNAcentral
AUUGAACGCUAGCGGGAUGCCUUACACAUGCAAGUCGAACGGAGUGGCGAACGGGUGAGUAAUGUAUCGGAACGUGCCCAGUAGCGGGGGAUAACUACGCGAAAGCGUAGCUAAUACCGCAUACUCUUGGAGCGGCCGAUACGGGAUUCGCUAGUUGGUGGGGUAACGGAUCACCAAGGCGACGAUCCGUAGCUGGUUUGAGAGGACGACCAGCCACACUGGGAAUGAGACACGGCCCAGACUCCGACGGUAGGCAGCAUUGGGGAAUUUUGGACAAUGGGGGAAACCCUGAUCCAGCCAUGCCGCGUGUGCGAUGAAGGCAUUCGGGUUGUAAAGCACUUUUGGCAGGAAAGCGGUACCUGCAGAAUAAGCACCGGCUAACUACGGGCCAGCAGCCGCGGUAAUUC